This 158-nucleotide ribosomal RNA is filed under the name uncultured bacterium. RNAcentral's name for it is "partial 16S ribosomal RNA". It matches the Rfam family "Bacterial small subunit ribosomal RNA", at positions 355 to 509 of the family's 1533-position model. The record is from RNAcentral.
UGAGGAAUAUUGGUCAAUGGGCGGGAGCCUGAACCAGCCAAGCCGCGUGAGGGAAGAAGGUACAGCGUAUCGUAAACCUCUUUUGUUCAGGGAACAAAGGCGGGGACUAGUCCCCGGAUGAGGGUACCUGAAGAAAAAGCAUCGGCUAACUCCGUGCC